GUACUUGGUUCAAAGUUCAUUUUCUUCACUAACAAGGUUUCAAUCAUGUCAAACACAGGCAUUGCAUAAAUCUACAUCACAAAAAACAAUGAAAUUAAGUUAUUUUAGUUGAAUUUACCAAAAUAAUAAUGCAAGAACACACAACAUAUAUUUGUGUAUUUUGUAACAUAAUGUGUGGUAAGGAUAACAAUAUACACAUAAUACAAUUUAAAGGACCUAUGUGGGACCAAAAACGCUCAGAUGACUAAUUUGAUACAGUUAAAUAAAGUCUAUUUUACCUAGUUAUUAAUAGGAUAAGUUUUCUAAAAGCUAUGAAGCACGAACACUCCUUAGAUUAGGCGUGUUUCGUUGUCGGACAUAUGUUGUGUCCGACACCGACACUUGUAAUUACACUGAAUUAUGUAAUUUUUUCAAAUUAUUAGCUGUGUCGGCGUGUCAGUAUCCAUGUCGUGUCCAGUGUCCGUGUCCAUAUCCGUGCUUUAUAGUAUAAAAGUCUAUAAAAUAAGAGAAACAAAAUUUUACCUGAUAGCUUCCAAUCACAUGAAUAACAACAAACAUGUUAGCUGUUGCAAUAAGCCAUGCAGGUUUCUGUAAAGAUAUGAGGAUGUCACCAUCAACCUCAUUUCCAAAUAUCCAGUAACCAAUAAGAGCAACAGGGAAGUAACACAAAGCAACAACAAUGUAUGCAACAACAACUCCUCUCCACAUUGGAACCUUGGAUGGUUUCUCCGGUG
RNAcentral lists this long non-coding RNA (734 nucleotides) under Medicago truncatula (barrel medic). Its description in RNAcentral is "long non-coding RNA (MTRU_LNC003911)". The record is from RNAcentral. Lineage: Eukaryota; Viridiplantae; Streptophyta; Magnoliopsida; Fabales; Fabaceae.